Molecule: ribosomal RNA, 841 nt
Filed under: Penicillium sp. Mf-5
Lineage: Eukaryota; Fungi; Ascomycota; Eurotiomycetes; Eurotiales; Aspergillaceae
Description: SSU rRNA
Rfam family: Eukaryotic small subunit ribosomal RNA
Source: RNAcentral
AAGCUCGUAGUUGAACCUUGGCUCUGGCUGGCCGGUCCGCCCACCGCGAGUACUGGUCCGGCUGGAGCUUUCCUUCUGGGGAACCUCAUGGCCUUCACUGGCUGUGGGGGGAACCAGGACUUUUACUGUGAAAAAAUUAAAGUGUUCAAAGCAGGCCUUUGCUCGAAUACAUUAGCAUGGAAUAAUAGAAUAGGACGUGCGGUUCUAUUUUGUUGGUUUCUAGGACCGCCGUAAUGAUUAAUAGGGAUAGUCGGGGGCGUCAGUAUUCAGCUGUCAGAGGUGAAAUUCUUGGAUUUGCUGAAGACUAACUACUGCGAAAGCAUUCGCCAAGGAUGUUUUCAUUAAUCAGGGAACGAAAGUUAGGGGAUCGAAGACGAUCAGAUACCGUCGUAGUCUUAACCAUAAACUAUGCCGACUAGGGAUCGGACGGGAUUCUAUUAUGACCCGUUCGGCACCUUACGAGAAAUCAAAGUUUUUGGGUUCUGGGGGGAGUAUGGUCGCAAGGCUGAAACUUAAAGAAAUUGACGGAAGGGCACCACAAGGCGUGGAGCCUGCGGCUUAAUUUGACUCAACACGGGGAAACUCACCAGGUCCAGACAAAAUAAGGAUUGACAGAUUGAGAGCUCUUUCUUGAUCUUUUGGAUGGUGGUGCAUGGCCGUUCUUAGUUGGUGGAGUGAUUUGUCUGCUUAAUUGCGAUAACGAAACGAGACCUCGGCCCUUAAAUAGCCCGGUCCGCAUUUGCGGGCCGCUGGCUUCUUAGGGGGGACUAUCGGCUCAAGCCGAUGGAAGUGCGCGGCAAUAACAGGCCUGUGAUGCCCUUAAAUGUUCUGGGCCCGCACG